Passer montanus (Eurasian tree sparrow) is the source of this 2442-nucleotide long non-coding RNA. RefSeq lists it as uncharacterized. The record is from RefSeq and is a predicted model, not a curated record. The transcript has 4 exons. Lineage: Eukaryota; Metazoa; Chordata; Aves; Passeriformes; Passeridae.
CUUGCUCUGCUUGCUCUCCUUACUUUGGGUUAUUUAAGGCUGCUUAUUUGCAUGGAAUAGUGUUAUGAGUGUUUUCUAGGCUUUGACUGUUUACUUUUGCCAAAGUAAAAUUAGCACUUUCUACUUCACCACCCAAAUACCAAAGGAGAAGUGUCCAAACUUUAGCCCUCAGUCUGAAGGGAACACUGAAUUUUGGAAGUGUCCCUCAUGCUAACAGCAAGCUGACUUGAAAUCCUGUGUCUGACCAACUCCAGACUUUCUGGGAUUUGAAAACAACUUCAGAUUUGAUAUUUGGCCUAGUUUGUUAACGAAAAUGGAAAACUGCAUUUCCUCAGCCUUCCUGAAGAAGAGCCCAUGAACCUGAUGAACUUGAGAUAAAAACAAGGACUAGCAGGAUGCUAUGUCCCAUCUCGGACGAGGUCAGCAGGAGUUUUGAGCAACAUGGGACCGGCCCCUCUAGCUGGAAACUUCUUCAUUUGCCUCUGAACUCUGCAGCCACUGGGGUUUGAGACCUACACAGAUGGACUUUUCUCUGAGGUACUCCUUCAAUCCUUGAUCAGACACCAGGAGGUCUCUGGAUGACUUAGAGCCAUUUCUGAUAAGAUGUCCUUUCCAUGCACCUUGUCCUGCAUGGAACCUGCAAGUUAAGUCCUGCAACCUGCACAAUGGAGAGAUGUCUGGUAGAAAACAGACAGACCAAGGUAGUCUGUUGCCCUCUGACUGCAGAAAGGCUUCCAGGGCUGAAGGGAAGGCUGUGACCUUGUACUACUUGCAUGGCAGGUAUCGAUUUCAAAGAAACUCAUCAGAAGAGAUUUGUCAGCCGUCGGAUGGAAUUUCUGGUCGAGACCAGAAGGAGAUGGCAAAGUUGGAGUAUCAGGUAGCGCCGCGAUCGGUCAGAGACUCACCUGGAAUGUGGAAAAUCAAGGUUCAGGCCUGGGGACUUGAACGUGAGAUUUACAGAGUGCCCUGAACGAGGCUUUUGAGUUGUUUGCUUGCUGUGAAUUUAACUGUUUAUGUAAAGUGGAGUCCUGCUAGUGAGCAGGAGGUCUUGAGACCUGAUGUGUCCCUGAUGUGUCGGACUAGACUAGGAUUUGAGGCAAUUUGUGGAAAAUGGGAGAGAGUGGCAAAGCAGGCAGCAACUGAGUGCUUUACUUACCCACCUUUUACAUACUCUGCUCAUCUCUCAUUCUUGUGUAUAAAAUUCAAAAAGUCUUGGUCCUGGAGAGGAAUGGGAACAUUUCUGAAGACUCAUAAUAGCUUUGCAAAAUGCAAAACCUGCUUCUCCCAUCCCACCGUUAUCCUCUUUGCCAUAGAAACAAAUUGCAAAAAUCCACUGAAUUCCUGGGAGCAAACUGUGACUCAUGUAAAAUGAUUUGUCAAUUACUAGGGAGUUUACUGGAUGUAAGGUUCAUUAUAAGUAUAAAAAUUGCAGUCUCUUAAUAAGACAGCUUUUAAAAAUAAAACGCUUUCUGAAUUUUAAGAAACUUUGUAAUAAUAUAAACAAGGCUUUUAAUCUUGGUAAUGUUAGUGGCAAAUUAUAUACUACAUCUAAUUUUAUCAGAUGAUAACAGUUGUAGUUUUUAUCUUCAAAAACAGGUUGUGAAUGCUUGAGGGGAAUAACUCUUCAUAGCAAAAGCUAAGUUAAUUUUGUGUUGUCUUAUGUUGCUGGCAGAGAAGCCUUUAUUUAGUUCAUCUCUUUUUCUGUUUUGUUUUUUUUUUCUCCAAAAAAAGGAGUAAUUUCAUGCAGCAGUUUAUUUAAAUACAGAAAAAAAAUCACAUUAGAAAGAUCUCUCAUUAUAAGCUUUCUGAAAGUUUGCUAUGCACUUUCAUGUAAAACUUGGCCUCAGUACAGAACUGCUGUACAAUCAUUUUCAUCUGAGAUUUGAACAUAUUGGAUGAACUAGAGCAGUUCUUUCUUCUAUCCUGUCAUUUUUUUCCCUUGGAAAUGAUGAGCAUAUGGCAACCACCCUUACUGGAUUCUCAAACAACAGGAGGGACCUUAUUUCGAUUCCUACAUCCUGUCAUCAGUGAAUCCCAUGAUAUUUUGUUCUUGCAAGGCUAAAGAUGUGAUUCGCAUUUGCCAUAAGGACAGAGCUUAAUGUGAUGCCAUUUUACCACAGGAGCCCUCAAUCAGUUAAUUAAACAUGAUAUAAAUCACUGCAUGUAUUUGUAAAGUAAGAUUAAUAUGGCAAAGUCAGAGUAAUGAGGAAUCCUCACCAUUGUCUGAGUGUGAAUCACUGAUACGAAGAUUACCCUUUUGAAACUGGAUAUCUUUGAGUGGGUUUUGUUGGCUUAAUCCCUCAGACCGCUUUGUGCAACUUGAAACCCAGACCUGUCAUCUUUAGCCAAAAUUUCAGCCAUAACUUCCUCAGCUUUCACCCAAUCAUUUAAAUCAGCAUUCAUAAUACUUAGAAAGAUCAAGCCUUUCAGCAUACCACAAGG